This 253-nucleotide ribosomal RNA is filed under the name uncultured bacterium. RNAcentral's name for it is "partial 16S ribosomal RNA". It matches the Rfam family "Bacterial small subunit ribosomal RNA", at positions 524 to 776 of the family's 1533-position model. The record is from RNAcentral.
UACGUAGGGUGCAAGCGUUAAUCGGAAUUACUGGGCGUAAAGAGUGCGCAGGCGGCUAUGCAAGACAGAUGUGAAAUCCCCGGGCUCAACCUGGGAACUGCAUUUGUGACUGCAUAGCUAGAGUACGGUAGAGGGGGAUGGAAUUCCGCGUGUAGCAGUGAAAUGCGUAGAUAUGCGGAGGAACACCGAUGGCGAAGGCAAUCCCCUGGACCUGUACUGACGCUCAUGCACGAAAGCGUGGGGAGCAAACAGG